CAAGGUUUCCUGCGCAACGCUAAUCGGCGCAGGGUGAGUCGGCCCCUAAGGCGAGGCGGAAACGCGUAGUCGAUGGGAAGCACGUUAAUAUUCGUGCACUUGCAAUUAUUGCGAUGGAGAGACGGAGAAGGCUAGGCUAGCGCGGCGAUGGUUGUCCGCGUUCAAGCUAGUAGGCUGGUGACUUAGGUAAAUCCGGGUUGCCCAGGCCGAGAGGUGAUAACGAGCUCUUUCGAAAGAUCGAGUGAAGUAGUCGAUGCCAUGCUUCCAAGAAAAUCUUCUAAGCUUCAGCUUAUAUGUAACCGUACCCCAAACCGACACAGGUGGUCAGGUAGAGAAUACCGAGGCGAUCGAGUGAACUGUGGUUAAGGAACUCGGCAAAUUGCCCCCGUAACUUCGGGAGAAGGGGGGCCGCGGCUGGUGAUGGGACUUGCUCCCUGAGCUGGCUACGGCCGCAGAGACCAGGUGGAAGCGACUGUUUACUAAAAACACAGGUCCAUGCAAAGUCGCAAGACGACGUAUAUGGACUGACGCCUGCCCGGUGCUGGAACGUUAAGGGGACCAGUUAGUUCUUCGGAGCGAAGCUGAGAACUUAAGCGCCAGUAAACGGCGGUGGUAACUAUAACCAUCCUAAGGUAGCGAAAUUCCUUGUCGGGUAAGUUCCGACCUGCACGAAUGGCGUAACGACUUCCACGCUGUCUCAACCGCAGACUCGGCGAAAUUGCACUACGAGUAAAGAUGCUCGUUACGCGUGGCAGGACGGAAAGACCCCGGGACCUUUACUACAGCUUGGUAUUGGUGGUCGGUUCGAUUUGUGUAGCAUAGGUGGGAGACUUGGAAGCCCGGACGCCAGUUCGGGUGGAGUCAUCGUUGAAAUACCACUCUGAUCGUAUUGGCUGUCUAACCUCGAUCCGUGAUCCGGAUUAGGGACAGUGCCUGGUGGGUAGUUUAACUGGGGCGGUUGCCUCCCAAAGAGUAACGGAGGCGCUCAAAGGUUCCCUCAGCCUGGUUGGCAAUCAGGUGUCGAGUGUAAGUGCACAAGGGAGCUUGACUGUGAGACUGACAGGUCGAGCAGGGACGAAAGUCGGAACUAGUGAUCCGGCGCCGGCAUGUGGAAGCGGCGUCGCUCAACGGAUAAAAGGUACCCCGGGGAUAACAGGCUGAUCUUGCCCAAGAGUCCAUAUCGACGGCAUGGUUUGGCACCUCGAUGUCGGCUCGUCGCAUCCUGGGGCUGGAGUCGGUCCCAAGGGUUGGGCUGUUCGCCCAUUAAAGCGGCACGCGAGCUGGGUUUAGAACGUCGUGAGACAGUUCGGUCCCUAUCCGCCACGCGCGUAAGAGUCUUGAGGAGAUCUGUCCCUAGUACGAGAGGACCGGGACGGACGAACCUCUGGUGUGCCAGUUGUCCUGCCAAGGGCACGGCUGGUUAGCUACGUUCGGAAGGGAUAACCGCUGAAAGCAUCUAAGCGGGAAGCCCACUCCAAGAUGAGGGCUCUCACUGGUUUACCAGGUAAGGACCCCAGCUAGACGACUGGGUUGAUAGGCCGGAUGUGGAAGCACAGCAAUGUGUGGAGCUGACCGGUACUAAUAGUCCGAGGACUUGCUU
Molecule: ribosomal RNA, 1600 nt
Filed under: metagenome
Description: bacterial LSU rRNA
Rfam family: Bacterial large subunit ribosomal RNA
Source: RNAcentral